AUCCUUUUGUAGUUCAUGAGCGUGAUGAUUGGGUGUUCACACCGUUGUGUGACAUGUGCGUCCCUCUAAACCUUGUUACGAUCUCGGCACAUUACCCGUCUGACG
Small nucleolar RNA from Zalophus californianus (California sea lion), 105 nucleotides. The record is from Ensembl. Lineage: Eukaryota; Metazoa; Chordata; Mammalia; Carnivora; Otariidae.